GGUAGAGUCACCGAUGGAGGAGCGGCGUCGCCCCAGCAGCACCGAUUUCCCUUUCAACAGGAAGACUACCACAGCUACUCUAGGCACAGGAGUCUCUGCCUUUUGCCCCAUUUUUCUUCUGAUGAUCUCUUUGGAACACUUUCAGCUUCUCCCUCUCUCUAGACAGCAUGAGAUAAAAAAUGAAUCUGCCUUUUUAUAUGGACUUGGAACGCGCCUGCCCAGCGCUUAUUUUAAAGGUUUUUUUUUCCGCCAGAAGGAUGACUAGUAGGAAUAUGCCUUGCACUUGGCGGAUUGAUCAUUGGAAAAUCUCAGCGGCUAGCAACGUGGCAUGACAGUAUUUGGUAUUCUUGUAGCUUG
RNAcentral lists this unclassified non-coding RNA (357 nucleotides) under Hevea brasiliensis (rubber tree). The record is from RNAcentral. Lineage: Eukaryota; Viridiplantae; Streptophyta; Magnoliopsida; Malpighiales; Euphorbiaceae.